AUCCAAGUGAGAGAUGAGUGGACAGAUGUAUUCAAAAGAUAUUGUGGCAAUAGAAACAAAAAGAUCUGGCGACAGACUGGAAGUGCAAAGGAAAGAAAUGUUAUUUUGAGAAGGGGUCUGUAGACUUCACCAGAUGACCAAAGGAAUCUAUGACACAUAAAAAGUUCAAGGACUCCUGGAUUUAUACUCUGUGCUGACCAGAUCAUAUCUGGAGUAUGGUGUUCCAUUCUGGGUACCAGAGCUAACAACGGACCUUCCUCAUUAGGGACAGAUAGACAGACGAGCUACUAUGGCAUCCUACUACGAGAUCCUGGAUGUGCCUCCAAGUGCCUCCCCUGAUGACAUCAAGAAGGCAGCAAAAACGGGACCUCUAUGACCGUUAUGGCAAAGAUGGACUGUCUGGGGCUGCAGGUUCAGAAUCUCCAAGGGCUGGAUCUGGUGGAUUCACCUUCACCUUUCGAAAUCCUGAGGAUGUCUUCAGGGAAUUUUUUGGGGGCCAAGACCCAUUUGCUGACUUUUUUGAUGACCUGGGCCCGGGUCAGGGCCCACUGCAUUCCAGAGGCUUUUUUGGUUUUUCAUCUCCCUUCUCUUCCCACCCAGCCUUUGCUUCAUCCUUCUCCUUCAGUCCUGGGGCCCAUGCCCUACGUUCUGUGACCACCUCUACCACCUUUGUGAAUGGCCGACGAGUUACGACUCGAAGAAUCAGGGAGAAUGGAGAGGAACGGGUGGAGAUUGAGGAGGAUGGGCAGCUGAAGACAGUCCUUGUCAAUGGAGUCCCUGAUGACCUGGCGCUGGGGUUGGAACUGAGUCGCCGAGAGCAGAUGCAUUUGACCAAAGAACCUAGUGGGGCUGUGCCCAAGUCUUUCGAUGUCUUAGGCCUCUCAGACAAUGAAGAUGAGGACAUACAACUUGCCAUGGCCUAUAGCCUAUCUGAGAAGGAAGCAGCUGAAAAGAAGGCUGCAGGUGGGCGACAGGGCAGUCAACAGCAUGGGAGUCCUGGGACCCGGGCCCACGAAGCAGCCAAGAAGAAGGCUGCAGGUGGGCGACAGGGCAGUCAACAGCAUGAGAGUCCUGGGACCCGGGCCCACAAAGUAGCUGAGAAGAAGGCCACAGGGGGGCGGCAGGGCAGUCAACAGCAUGGCAGUCCUGGGACCCAGGCCCACAAAGCAGCAGAGAAGAAGGCCACAGGGGGGCGGCAGGCCAGUCAGCAGCAGAGGAGUCCUGAGACCCAGGCCCAGGAAGCAGCUGGGAAGAAGUCUGCAGGUGGGCAGUGGGCCCACCAAUGGCAGGGACAUCCUGAGACCCAGGCCCAGGAUCCGGGUGUGGGGGCGGUUCAAGAAGGGGCACAGAGAGUGGCCAGAGAGCCCAGUGUGGCUUCUGAGGAUAAGGCGUCUCGCUGUAUCAUCCUCUGAAGACAAGGUCCCAGUCACCUUAAGUCAGCUCUCUGGGAGGUUCUCUCACAGCUGGAGCUCAGUUCAUACCCCUAACACUGUCUAAGCUCCAAUCUCACCUCCGUGGCCCCUUGGGCUUCCCUUCUUAACCAUUAGCCCUGACCUGGGCUUGAGUCUGCUAUGACCAUGGGGUUUGCUACUGCCAUUGUUACUGUUGAUGCUGUUCUUGGCCUGUGUCGGGCACAGAAGAGUCAGGCUCUGUCAGGUGGGACCUGGACCUUGUUAUUGGGGAGGGAAAAGUUCAUCAGGAAGAUUACCCUUGGGCAGGGGUCAGUGGGGGCCUUUAGGAAGAGAACCUGAGGACAGUGGUAGGGGCUGGUCGAUAGAGACAGAAUUCUGUCCCUGGGACUCAUUUCCAUCUUGUACAUAUGAUGUGGUUUGUAGGCAAGGUCUCAGCCUGGAGUUACCCCGGAUCCUGUCUAGGGUGGUGCACUUUGUGGUCUGGGAGAAUUUGUCCUAGACUGGUGGUGGGGAGGGGUGAUAUGAGUGUCAACUUCUGUUCCUCUUGUACAGUUGUAGGCCAUCUGCCCCUUGCCACAUGGGUGGUUCUGGGGUGAGGACUAAGGUGCUGUGAUGAGAUCUGACUGUCUCUGUUGCUUGCCUCUUCCAAUUCCUUGAAGCUGUACCUGCUGCUUCUCCUUCCUCAGACACCUCUCUCUUCCCCCCUUCCCUGCUGGCUGGCUGGCUAAGAUACCCCCUCCCUUUCCCUCUUCCCCCACAAGGCCUUGGUGCUGAAUGAGGAAGAAGCUGGAAGGGCCGUGGGUCUCCAGGAUGUAUUCUGAACUGGAUGUCCGGGACCCAGAGCCAUCGCAAAGCUCCUUCAGGAUGUCACCCUUCCCUGGGUGCAGGGUGGGGGGAUUCCCCUCCAUUCCUCUCCCCCAUCCAUGCUGAGCUCGGAGCCAUGGCCUGGAUGGUGUGCUUCAGGGGCAGGUGGGCGGUGGGUUAGUAGUGGUAGACAACAGACUUCCUAGGGGGCUAUGUUCAGUAGCCCUUGGAAACUACAUGUCCCAUAAUGCUAUGUACCCCUUCAUGAAUUGCCUGGGUGAAACUGUGAUGUGGGAGCAGUGCAUCUUAGGACAUGCAGUUUCUACCAGUACCAGCCACAGGCUACCUCUCUUCUGUCCUGUGACUACACAGAGGGAUCCUGUCCCUUGUAGAGGUGGAGAGGUGUGGGUACACUGGGGAGAGGAAGAGUCUGGGGUUGGAGCCAGCCAGCUGAACCCUAGGCUCCUCCAAAUCUGUCUCACCAUUGGACGCUGCUGGUUGGGGGAGGAGCCAAGAUGGGGGUGGGGGAGAAAUAACGGGGAGGGAGAAACUAUUCAUCUGUGCAGGGAUGGGGCCUGGAAAACAAAGCAGCCGCCCCCACCCCUCCACCCCCAACAUGCUGCCCAAAGGGCAGCAGGACCAGCUGACCGAGGAGAGACCUCUGAAGGCAGUGGCUGGGUGGGGGCAUGGGUUGGGCAGUUGGGUAUUGGUUGGGUGCGGCGUGGAGUUAGGAAUGGGGUGCGAAACGGGAAACUGAAACUGGCCCCAACAGGCUGAGUGUGAGUUGUGCUAGGUCCAGUUGAAUGGUGCUUGUGAGAGGGAGCUGAAGGGCAUGUUGCUGCUUGUAUGGCCUCGUCCAGCCUCUAACCCUCUUCCAUUCAUGAUGACAGAAUUGCCCUUCCUCUUCUCUGCCUAGUGGAGCCUCCAGGAGGGGAGGAGGUAGGGGUGGAGAAGGCAUGACUGCUUCCCCAGGUCCAGCUUGCGAGGGCCUACUGGGCCAGGGUGUGCUUAGUUCAGAUUCAUGAGUAAAACACUGGAAAUUAAUAAACCUGAUAAUAUUUGGAGACUGUA
Phascolarctos cinereus (koala) is the source of this 3287-nucleotide non-coding RNA. The record is from RefSeq and is a predicted model, not a curated record. Lineage: Eukaryota; Metazoa; Chordata; Mammalia; Diprotodontia; Phascolarctidae.